Long non-coding RNA from Asparagus officinalis (garden asparagus), 674 nucleotides. RefSeq lists it as uncharacterized. NCBI's taxonomy places the organism in Eukaryota, Viridiplantae, Streptophyta, Magnoliopsida, Asparagales, Asparagaceae. The transcript has 3 exons. The record is from RefSeq and is a predicted model, not a curated record.
UCAACAAAUGGAUGUUCGGGUUGAAGGGAAAGGCACGUGUAUGUAUCUCAUCCCGCUGUGGCGGAUGCGUGUGUUGCCCUCUUAUAUGAGGAGAGAGCCUAUUUGCGGCUAAUGCUACUCUCAUUUGAAGGGUCGUGUACAAGAGGUAAGGCAACAUGGUGGCUAAAAAACCGGUAGCAUGGGGCCAGAGUGUUCUGCCUCCUCCACACACUCUCUAAGGGUAGGCAAUCAUGUGUGCUACACCCCGCUAUGAGAGGUUAUGCCAGGUCAAGGCUAAGAUGGGGACUUGAAUCGACCUAUACUGGUGAUGCUAAGGUACAAGAACUCGAUGAUGUUGCUUUUAUUGCACAUGAUGCAUUAGGAACGACUACCGAGCCAGGGGCGAGGAGCGUGUUCCUUCGCAUCAUAGGAAAGAUUCUAUCCGCUCUUAGGAGGACGCGCAAUAUGAAAUGUGAUGGACACGAGGAACGUCUCAUAGGGUACGAGCGUUGAUGAGUCUGAGGACACACGAGAGCAGGCUCAAGUCGUGCACUUGAUGAAGCUGGAGGCUCACAGCAAGCUCAAGACGGAUGUUCACAGCAGGUUCAAGUCGACGAGGAUGUCAUGUGCUCACAAGUUCACACACAACCGGACGUUGAGAUCAUCCGAGCUCAUGUUGAAAGUGAACAGGGAAG